AGCUUUGCGUAGUGGCAAUAUCAUAGCCAAUGAGGUUUAUCCAAGGGGCAAUUAUUGCUAAUUAAAGGCAACUCUUUAAAAAACAAAUAAGCAUAUAUAUAUAUAUAUAUAUAUGUGUGUGUGUGUGUGUGUGUG
Molecule: small nuclear RNA, 135 nt
Filed under: Mus musculus (house mouse)
Lineage: Eukaryota; Metazoa; Chordata; Mammalia; Rodentia; Muridae
Description: U4 spliceosomal RNA
Rfam family: U4 spliceosomal RNA
About the family: U4 small nuclear RNA (U4 snRNA) is a component of the major U2-dependent spliceosome. The structure of U4 snRNA from yeast and human has been reported.
Source: Rfam by way of RNAcentral